UUUUGCUUCAAACCAUCCGAACCAACCCACACCCGUACUGAUUACAGCUGGCUAGGGUUCUCAUUUUCCCUCUCUCAAUCGGCGAUUUGCGAUAGCGACGAUUCUAGCGGCUGCAAUCUCCAUCGGCGCUUACCACGGUGGUUCUCCGGCGUAGUACCCAUUUCCAAAAGAAUCAAAAUUUCAGAAUUUGAUCAUCAAAUUUCAAGUUUUCAUCCUUCAAAGUUGACCAUUUCAUGGUUUAAACACUCGGGGAUUUCAGAAUUACUGCUUCUUUUUAUUUUUCCAAUUUCAGUGGCACAUUUUAUUUACUUUUCGAUUACUAAAAACUUAUUUGCCUGUCUCAAGAUUAUAAAUUUGAUUACUUUAAAAUAAGGUUCUUAAUUAAUUAACUAAUGUGCAUUUGCUUGUGUUGUUGAACCCAAGAAAAAAAAAAACAAAAUUGAAUGUGUUGUGUAUUUGGCUUUGUCUGUGAACCUUCAAAAAAAAAAAGGGGGGCGGGGGGGGGGGGGGGAUCAAGUUCGGUUGGGGAAAACCAAUACCCGUUAUGAGAUGGGGAAAAAUUAUAAUAGGGGAAGGGGGACGGGGAAUUAAUAUCCACCUUGUUGGCCCCCAUUGCUGGGCCAUCAGAUAGAGAAAGGGUUGGACACUGAAACUAUUUUCUUAUUUUAUUUUAUUUAUAAUUUUAUGUCAAAAACUUUAUGCACUCUUUGUUACUUCUGAGAUUGUUUGUAAUAUAUCAAGACAAUUUAUGCAUUUUAUUGUUGAUGGCAAUAGUUAUAGUUGGUUCAAAUUAUAGCGAAAAUGAUACGCACCAAAUAGCCCCUUGCUGCUUCCAGUCUUAGUCGCAAGGAAACAUCGAGAAAUAAAGGUAUUUCCGGUGCUAAAUUAAACAUUCUUUCUUGGCAUCGUACAUUGAACAAAAUAUUUCUUUGUUCAACUCUGUUUUGCCAAACAAUAAUAGUUUACAAUUUUUUCUUUUUUCUGGGUCAUGUGAAGCAUUAAAAUCCUUUUUUGUUUGCUUAUAAGCCCGUUUCUUCUGGGUCAAAGUUGAUUCGAUAUUGGAUUUUUGGGAUAGUGCAAGAGAAUGCAAAGCAAAAUGAUGUUGUUCUUUAGUCUGAAACUCGAGAUGUGGAAAUCAUAUAAACAAUGGUCUUCAAAGUUCUGUGAUUGCUCUGCUGUGGAUGUUACUACUUUAGUAUGUGAUUGCCUACUUGAUUAUAAUUGUAUUUUAUAUAAUUAAAUGUGAACAUCAAUCCGUCUUCUGAAGCUCAUGUCAUGCCCUCUAGAGGAUAUACA
Camellia sinensis is the source of this 1296-nucleotide long non-coding RNA. RefSeq lists it as uncharacterized. The record is from RefSeq and is a predicted model, not a curated record. Lineage: Eukaryota; Viridiplantae; Streptophyta; Magnoliopsida; Ericales; Theaceae.